RNAcentral lists this ribosomal RNA (599 nucleotides) under uncultured bacterium. RNAcentral's name for it is "bacterial SSU rRNA". It matches the Rfam family "Bacterial small subunit ribosomal RNA", at positions 857 to 1456 of the family's 1533-position model. The record is from RNAcentral.
GCAUUAAGUUAUCCGCCUGGGGAGUACGGUCGCAAGAUUAAAACUCAAAGGAAUUGACGGGGGCCUGCACAAGCGGUGGAGCAUGUGGUUUAAUUCGAAGCAACGCGCAGAACCUUACCAGCCUUUGACAUCCUAGGACGGUUUCUGGAGACAGACUCCUUCCCUUCGGGGACCUAGUGACAGGUGCUGCAUGGCUGUCGUCAGCUCGUGUCGUGGGACGUUGGGUUAAGUCCCGCAACGAGCGCAACCCUCGUCCUUAGUUGCCAUCAUUUAGUUGGGCACUUUAAGGAAACUGCCGGUGAUAAGCCGGAGGAAGGUGGGGAUGACGUCAAGUCCUCAUGGCCCUUACAGGCUGGGCUACACACGUGCUACAAUGGCAUCUACAGUGGGCAGCUAUCCCGCAAGGGUGAGCUAAUCUCCAAAAGAUGUCUCAGUUCGGAUUGUCCUCUGCAACUCGAGGGCAUGAAGGCGGAAUCGCUAGUAAUCGCGGAUCAGCAUGCCGCGGUGAAUACGUUCCCAGGCCUUGUACACACCGCCCGUCACACCAUGGGAGUUGGAUUCACCCGAAGGCAGUGCGCUAACCGCAAGGAGGCAGCUGA